RNAcentral lists this ribosomal RNA (524 nucleotides) under uncultured bacterium. Its description in RNAcentral is "bacterial SSU rRNA". It matches the Rfam family "Bacterial small subunit ribosomal RNA", at positions 505 to 1030 of the family's 1533-position model. The record is from RNAcentral.
GUGCCAGCCGCGGCGGUAAUACGGAGGGUGCAAGCGUUAAUCGGAAUUACUGGGCGUAAAGCGCACGCAGGCGGUCUGUCAAGUCGGAUGUGAAAUCCCCGGGCUCAACCUGGGAACUGCAUUCGAAACUGGCAGGCUGGAGUCUUGUAGAGGGGGGUAGAAUUCCAGGUGUAGCGGUGAAAUGCGUAGAGAUCUGGAGGAAUACCGGUGGCGAAGGCGGCCCCCUGGACAAAGACUGACACUCAGGUGCGAAAGCGUGGGGAGCAAACAGGAUUAGAUACCCUGGUAGUCCACGCCGUAAACGAUGUCGAUUUGGAGGUUGUGCCCUUGAGGCGUGGCUUCCGGAGCUAACGCGUUAAAUCGACCGCCUGGGGAGUACGGCCGCAAGGUUAAACUCAAAUGAAUUGACGGGGGCCCGCACAAGCGGUGGAGCAUGUGGUUUAAUUCGAUGCAACGCGAAGACCUUACCUGGUCUUGACAUCCACAGAACUUUCCAGAGAUGGAUUGGUGCCUUCGGGAACUGU